Molecule: ribosomal RNA, 460 nt
Filed under: uncultured bacterium
Lineage: Bacteria
Description: bacterial SSU rRNA
Rfam family: Bacterial small subunit ribosomal RNA
Source: RNAcentral
AAUCAACGCUGGCGGCGCGCUUAACACAUGCAAGUCGAACGAGAAAGGGAGCAAUCCUGAGUAAAGUGGCGUACUGGUGAGUAACACGUGGAUAUCUACCUCUUGGUGGGGAAUAACCUGGGGAAACCUGGGCUAAUACCGCAUAAGUUCGUGAGAAGAAAGGCGCAAGUCGCCGAGAGAGGAGUCCGCGGUCGAUUAGGUAGUUGGCAGGGUAAAGCCUACCAAGCCGAAGAUCGAUAGCCGGCCUGAGAGGGCACACGGCCACACUGGCACUGAAACACGGGCCAGACUCCUACGGGAGGCAGCAGUGGGGAAUCUUGCACAAUGGGGGAAACCCUGAUGCAGCGACGCCGCGUGAGCGAUGAAGCCCUUCGGGGUGUAAAGCUCUUUCGGCAGGAACGAUAAUGACGGUACCUGCAGAAGAAGCUGCGGCUAACUACGUGCCAGCAGCCGCGGUAAU